CAGGAAUGUGUGGCUCACAGUUCUGGAAGACGGAGGUCCGAGGUCGAAGGCCCAGCAGCUUCGGUGUCUGGUGCGGAACCGCCUUCCAGCUGAUGCAGGAGACUGAGGCACAAAGAGGAGGUGCCUCACUAGGGCCGGCUUGGGUUUAUAGUGUGCCCUCGGAAAGCUCUGGAAGAAUGGAGUCUACGUUUCGGCUCAAGCUGCAGCCAGAAGCAGCCAUGGGAACCCAGCACCCAGCCAGACCCGAGCCUCCUGGGCCGCUGAAAAACAAACCAGACCAGAGCCCCCAAGACGGGACCCGUGUCAGCAGAGCUAUGGGGAGAAUUGCACGGCGCGUGCCUUCUGCUGCUUAAAUCCAUCCCGCUAAGUGCUGGGGGCUUUAUGCGCUAUGGGACUCUCAGUCCGG
This 406-nucleotide long non-coding RNA is filed under the name Homo sapiens (human). RNAcentral describes it as "non-protein coding lnc-ASB1-1:2". The record is from RNAcentral. Lineage: Eukaryota; Metazoa; Chordata; Mammalia; Primates; Hominidae.